Molecule: small nucleolar RNA, 138 nt
Organism: Tachyglossus aculeatus (Australian echidna)
Lineage: Eukaryota; Metazoa; Chordata; Mammalia; Monotremata; Tachyglossidae
Source: RefSeq, a predicted model, not a curated record
ACUCUCUCGGGUUCCCACCUGGAGAGUUUCCAGUAUUCUACCAGUCUCAACUUUAGGAGGGAAAGUCAAGCAGAGGCCUACCCAUUUCAUUCCUAGCUUGGCCGGUAGCUAGUGAGUGGAAGACAAUCUGCUACAAGU